GGUGUAGCGGUGGAAUGCGCAGAUAUCAGGAGGAACACCGGUGGCGAAGGCGGGUCUCUGGGCAGUAACUGACGCUGAGGAGCGAAAGCGUGGGUAGCGAACAGGAUUAGAUACCCUGGUAGUCCACGCCGUAAACGGUGGGCGCUAGGUGUGGGUUUCCUUCCACGGGAUCCGUGCCGUAGCUAACGCAUUAAGCGCCCCGCCUGGGGAGUACGGCCGCAAGGCUAAAACUCAAAGGAAUUGACGGGGGCCCGCACAAGCGGCGGAGCAUGUGGAUUAAUUCGAUGCAACGCGAAGAACCUUACCUGGGUUUGACAUACACCGGACCGCCCCAGAGAUGGGGUUUCCCUUGUGGUCGGUGUACAGGUGGUGCAUGGUUGUCGUCAGCUCG
RNAcentral lists this ribosomal RNA (391 nucleotides) under Nocardia sp. C-14-1. RNAcentral's name for it is "bacterial SSU rRNA". It matches the Rfam family "Bacterial small subunit ribosomal RNA", at positions 672 to 1062 of the family's 1533-position model. The record is from RNAcentral. Lineage: Bacteria; Bacillati; Actinomycetota; Actinomycetes; Mycobacteriales; Nocardiaceae.